GUGGAUUAGAUACCCUGGUAGUCCACGCUGUAAACGAUGGGCACUAGGUGUCCGGGGUAUUGACCCCCUGGGUGCCGCAGCUAACGCAUUAAGUGCCCCGCCUGGGGAGUACGGUCGCAAGAUUAAAACUCAAAGGAAUUGACGGGGGCCCGCACAAGCGGUGGAGCAUGUGGUUCAAUUCGACGCAACGCGAAGAACCUUACCUGGGCUAGACAACGGCGGACCGUCCUAGAAAUAGGAUUUUCCCUUCGGGGACUGCCGGUUCAGGUGCUGCACGGCCGUCGCCAACU
RNAcentral lists this ribosomal RNA (290 nucleotides) under uncultured bacterium. RNAcentral's name for it is "partial 16S ribosomal RNA". It matches the Rfam family "Bacterial small subunit ribosomal RNA", at positions 773 to 1060 of the family's 1533-position model. The record is from RNAcentral.